AAGAAAAGAAGAAAAGGAAAAAAGAAGAAAAGGAAGAAGGAGAGGGGAGGCGACGACGACUGCCGUCGCUGGAGAGGAGAGGAAGAAGGAAGGAAGAGAAGGAGAGGAAGAAGGAGAGAAGAAUAGAAGGAAGAAGGAAAGGAGAAGGUAGCGCUAGAGGAGAAGAAGAAGAAAAGAAAAAAAGUUGAGGAGGAAGAGUGGCGGCAACGGCGCCGCCGCCGCCGGCUGUGGAAGAAGAGAGGGUAGAGAGAAGGGAGAGGAAAGGAGUGAUAGAGAGAGGUAGUAGGGUUUCAAAUGGCUGAUUUGGGUUUAAGAGGGGUAUUUAUAUCAUCUAGGUAAAUUACGAUUUUGCCCCUCACCUUCCUUCUUGGCAGACAAAAUAUCUGGGGGUAGUUUCGUUUUUUCCAGCCCUGAGUCGGGUAAUUGAGCAGUCGGACCGGUCAACUCGCUCAACGAUUUUGGCCUUCCUCCCAUCUCGUUUCGGACCAAAUUCCGACUCGGCCCAUUUCGGUCAAAAGCCCCUUAGUUCGUUUUGUAUAUUAAGUUUUAUUAAGUCUGGAGUAAAACCGAAAUAAGUGUAGGUUAAUAAAAAAAUUUUAAAUUCUCUAAUUUUAUUGAAUAUAUAAAGUAAAAAUUGUAAAACCUAAAAAAUCGAAUCGUCCAAAUAUUUAAAAUCGAUUUAACAUGUUUAAUGUCGAUAACGUGAAUUUAACAAUAAUAAAAUCAUCGAAUCACUAAAAGUGUUUGUGUCAGAUAUAUCCGAAUAUAGGUUCGUUUAUUGUCCGAUAGCAUAUUGCUAUUUUUCUUUUUCUUUUUAAACUUAAAUUAAUUAAUACAAAUCAACCAAAUCAUCCUUAAAAGACUUCAAAAUCAAAUAUGACAUUAAUACUAAUAAGACUUUCAACAAAUAAGUGCCCAAAUUGUAAAGCAUUAAUAAUCCUUAUUAUUCCCCUUAGCUUUAUAAAAUAACAAAUAUUCCAAUUUGCGAGCUAGGGGUUCGUAAAUAGAUUCAUCGCAUAUUUUAUUUUUUGUUCCUUGUCUUUUCCUCGAUAAAUAUAUUAUUGAAUUGGUGUUGAUGGAUUCGGAAUACCGAAACUCAAAAGUAGUUUUUGCAAAAAUAUCGUCAUCAAUCAUUCGACGCGUUUUUUUAAUAAAAGAAAACGAGCACAGUAGCAUAAUGUUGGCUAUAGUAAAAAUUACGCGAAAUCCUCGACAACUUUUACUAUCCGAACUACGCGGACUUUGAUCCCAAAAUAUUGGGUAUGUAGGCAGCCGAGAAAGGCUCAAGUCCACCUUAAAAAUAUAUAUAACUCCAUCAUAAAAAAAUAAUUGCUCCGGUAACGUAUUUUUCGCAAGAGCGAAAAUCCACGAAAAACCGCGAAUAGUAGCGUAAGCUUUCUCAAGUGGGAAACUACGUGAAUCUACUAUCUUAAAACAAAUCAUUUUUUAACUAAUCUAAUCAUAAAACAGAAAAAUCUAUAAACAUAAAAUAAGAAUAGUAGCGUCGGGCUUUACGCUAUUAAAGUCACGUGAAAUUCUCAAAAUAUAAAACUCAUAAAACCUUUCAAAAAUUACCAAACAAACCGCAACUAUUUCGUUACACCUCAAAACAACUUUUUCAAAUCGAACUACGUGGACUUUGAUCCCGAACUCCGGGUACGUAGGCCGUCAUGAGACUUGAGUCCAACCUUAAAGCAAUUUAUUGUUUUCUUCCGACUCUAAAACAAUGUAUUCUUCCCGACUUUAAAAUAAUUUAUAAUUUUAUUUUCAAUUUUAAAACAGCUUGUUAUUUUAUUCCCAAUUUUAAAAUAACUUAUUAUUUUCUUUCCAACUCAAAAAAUAAUUUAUCUUCUUUCCAAUUUCAAACCAAUUCACUAUUUUCUUUUCAACUUCAAAACAAAUUACUAUUUUUCCCAACUUUAAAUUAAUUUAUCAUUUUAUUUCCUACUUUAAAGCAGUUUAUCAUUUUACUUCCAACCUUGAAGCAGCUUAUCAUUCUUCUAAAUUAAAAAUAAUUUAUCGACUUCCCCUUUUGAACUGUUUUACAAAAAUAUAUCUGACUUGAUAUGACCGUAUUGGCGGCCUUAGUCUUCACAAGAGUGAAGACGAGUGAAUUACAUAAUAAAAAGAUUAAACGCACUUUAUAAAAACACACCAAACUUAUCGACUUUUGUAGUACCGGUUUACCGGGCGUUGUGCGGGUGCUAAUCCGUAACCGUCCCUCUUACCCAGAUCUCUGAACGCAGGCCAUGCCCGGUUUAGGUUCCAAAGCCUGACCCAGGCUCCAAGUGUCCAAUCCACUUUUAAGCGAUUGGUGGCGACUCCGAACCAUCGAAAGCCAUCGGCGGGAGGACGGAAACGUUUACGACACUGGGGUUAAAUCUUUCCAAUCUUCUGAACUUUUUGGUUGUAGAAUUAUGGGUUGGUUAAUUAGGUUUCUAGGUUGUUUUGUUUUGGUUUCAUUGGGUUGGAACAAAGAGUAAAAGAGAAGAAGGAAGAAGAGAAAACAUGGAUGAAUGAUUUUAUACUUAUGAAUGAAUGAUUGAUUGAAAUAGUUUAGGGAUUUGAGAGUUUCACUUUGCUCGGGAAUCAAAGUGGGAAUUCGCAGAGGUUUAGUGGGAGUUCUUGAUGGAAUAAGGGUUUGUAUGUAGGAGGAGGAGAAAAAGAAGAAGAAAGGAGUUGGAUUUGUUUGAUUGAUCAAUAAAUUUGCAGAAG
RNAcentral lists this long non-coding RNA (2715 nucleotides) under Linum usitatissimum (flax). RNAcentral's name for it is "long non-coding RNA (LUSI_LNC004931)". Lineage: Eukaryota; Viridiplantae; Streptophyta; Magnoliopsida; Malpighiales; Linaceae. The record is from RNAcentral.